AUGUAAUACAUAAAAUAUUUGUUUGCUUUUUAUGAUUACGAACAAAUAUCGGCUGGCACCAUUUGUGCUGUCCUAUAUAUUUUUUCCUUGUAUGGUUUAAAUGCCAUUUCCCACGUUGUGGGGUCAGCUUAAUGAGCGAGUCCCAGACCACCUUGAAAAAACAUGAGGAGGAACCCCAGAUUCUCCAGCUGGAAACAGUACACUUCCUCUGCAGCUGAUGCCGACAAUAUUCAGAUUCGUCGACUGGACGGCAGCGGUGGUUGCUUGCUAUGCUUCCACACUGGAGAAUUCCGAUCCCACACCUCCAUUUUUUCAGAAAGAGUCCGGAUCUGGUGGUUCAGCCAUCCGCGGUAUGGGAUUACAUAAUGUCCAAAAUGCCAAGUACACUUUCUUUUAUAUCACAGCGAGGAUCUUUGUACUGCACGCAAUUUUUAGUAAUCUAGAUUUGAAUUUUAAAUGAUUAAAAUCGCUUAUCAACUCUGAAUAGAGUUCGACACAGAUACAAAAGUGGGCGCUUUACAGUGUGCUUAUAUCCAGUGCCGUAUAUAUUUUUAUAUAUAGUAAACUCUUGAGUAUUGCCAUAUAGUAUUUAACUUUUUAUACUCGAAUGAUUUCGAAUUUUAAUAGAAUCACGAAUAAAACUUAUCAUAUUUAUGUUAAAAACAAU
Molecule: long non-coding RNA, 667 nt
Filed under: Androctonus crassicauda
Lineage: Eukaryota; Metazoa; Arthropoda; Arachnida; Scorpiones; Buthidae
Source: RNAcentral